GCCGGGAGCGGUUGUGCACACCUGUAAUCCCAGUGGCUCAGGAGGCUGAGGCAGGAGGAUCAUGAGUUCAAAGCCAGCCUCAGCAAAAACUUUACUAAGCAACUCAGUGAGACCCUAUCUCUA
RNAcentral lists this small RNA (123 nucleotides) under Marmota monax (woodchuck). The record is from RNAcentral. Lineage: Eukaryota; Metazoa; Chordata; Mammalia; Rodentia; Sciuridae.